GCUGUGGUUACGAGGCUUCUCUGUGCAGCGGGAAGCAUGGCAGCUACUUGACAGAAGAAUGAUCAUCUGUUGGAAAGGCAAACCAGGACUGAGGAGGCAUUGAUACCGCGUGGAUGUCUGUAGCACUGGAGGUGGCUGUGUAGUCCAGGCUGAGCUUGAACUCACUGUGCAGCCCACACUGGCCUCAAACUCACAGUGAUCUUCCUGCCUCAGCCUCCUGAGUGCUGGGAUUACA
Molecule: long non-coding RNA, 235 nt
Filed under: Chinchilla lanigera (long-tailed chinchilla)
Lineage: Eukaryota; Metazoa; Chordata; Mammalia; Rodentia; Chinchillidae
Description: lncRNA (ENSCLAG00000024055.1)
Source: RNAcentral